GACGAACGCUGGCGGCGUGCUUAACACAUGCAAGUCGAACGGAAAGGCCCUGCUUUUGUGGGGUGCUCGAGUGGCGAACGGGUGAGUAACACGUGAGUAACCUGCCCUUGACUUUGGGAUAACUUCAGGAAACUGGGGCUAAUACCGGAUAGGAGCUCCUGCUGCAUGGUGGGGGUUGGAAAGUUUCGGCGGUUGGGGAUGGACUCGCGGCUUAUCAGCUUGUUGGUGGGGUAGUGGCUUACCAAGGCUUUGACGGGUAGCCGGCCUGAGAGGGUGACCGGCAACAUGGGGACGGGGAUACGGCCCGGACUCCUACGGGAGGAAGCAGUGGGGAAUAUGGCACAAGGGGCGGAAGCCUGAGGCAGGAACGCGGGGGGCGGGAGGACGGCCUUCGGGUGGUAAACCGCUUUCGCCGGGGAGGAAGCGUGAGUGACGGUAAUGGGAAAAGAAGCACCGGCUAACUACGUG
RNAcentral lists this ribosomal RNA (468 nucleotides) under uncultured bacterium. Its description in RNAcentral is "partial 16S ribosomal RNA". It matches the Rfam family "Bacterial small subunit ribosomal RNA", at positions 28 to 507 of the family's 1533-position model. The record is from RNAcentral.